CUUUCUUUGCUGGCGACCGGCGCACGGGUGAGUAACACGUAUCCAACCUGCCCUUUACUCGGGGAUAGCCUUUCGAAGAAAGAUUAAUACCCGAUAGCAUAAUGAUUCCGCAUGGUUUCAUUAUUAAAGGAUUCCGGUAAAGGAUGGGGAUGCGUUCCAUUAGGUUGUUGGUGAGGUAACGGCCCACCAAGCCUUCGAUGGAUAGGGGUUCUGAGAGGAAGGUCCCCCACAUUGGAACUGAGACACGGUCCAA
RNAcentral lists this ribosomal RNA (253 nucleotides) under uncultured bacterium. RNAcentral describes it as "partial 16S ribosomal RNA". It matches the Rfam family "Bacterial small subunit ribosomal RNA", at positions 79 to 334 of the family's 1533-position model. The record is from RNAcentral.